This 449-nucleotide ribosomal RNA is filed under the name uncultured bacterium. RNAcentral's name for it is "partial 16S ribosomal RNA". It matches the Rfam family "Bacterial small subunit ribosomal RNA", at positions 29 to 523 of the family's 1533-position model. The record is from RNAcentral.
AACGAACGCUGGCGGCAUGCCUAAUACAUGCAAGUCGAACGAUCACUUCGGAUCUAGUGGCGCACGGGUGCGUAACGCGUGGGAAUCUGCCCUUGGGUUCGGAAUAACGUCGGGAAACUGACGCUAAUACCGGAUGAUGACGUAAGUCCAAAGAUUUAUCGCCCAAGGAUGAGCCCGCGUAGGAUUAGCUAGUUGGUGGGGUAAAGGCCCACCAAGGCGACGAUCCUUAGUUGGUCUGAGAGGAUGAUCAGCCACACUGGGACUGAGACACGGCCCAGACUCCUACGGGAGGCAGCAGUAGGGAAUAUUGGACAAUGGGGGCAACCCUGAUCCAGCAAUGCCGCGUGAGUGAUGAAGGCCUUAGGGUUGUAAAGCUCUUUUACCCGGGAUGAUAAUGACAGUACCGGGAGAAUAAGCCCCGGCUAACUCCGUGCCAGCCGCCGCAGUAA